Molecule: transfer RNA, 73 nt
Filed under: Methanobacteriota archaeon
Lineage: Archaea; Methanobacteriati; Methanobacteriota
Also listed under: 11 other names
Description: Euryarchaeota archaeon tRNA-Gln
Rfam family: tRNA
About the family: Transfer RNA (tRNA) molecules are approximately 80 nucleotides in length.
Source: RNAcentral
AGUCCCGUGGUGUAGCGGUCAAGCAUACCGGCCUUUGGAGCCUGUGACAGGGGUUCGAAUCCUCUCGGGACUA